GGAAGCGCACGGCGGCGAGCCGUGUCCGCGGUGGGACUCAGCACGGCGUGUGUUCACCUCGGGUGGCGUGGCCCCCGUCCCGGCGAGUCUUCCCGGCCUCGGUCAGGGGAGCGCCGGCGGCGGGUGCGCUGCGGCACCGCCUGCGCAUUUUCCGCCCGGACUCGUCAGCGAGGAUCGCCUCGGGCCCCAAGGGCGGCGGGGCAGGUGACCCGGCGGUGGCCCUGGCUGCCCCGUCGGGAGCUUAGAGCCCGCCGCUUCGGCUGCGGUCGCGGCCCGAGCGUCGAUGGAGGUGCGUGGCGAGCGUCGUUCGCCGGAGAGGCCGGGUCGGCGCCAACGGAGGGCGUUUGUCCUCCGGUCGGCCCGGCUCCGACGCUGACGUCGAGUCGCUGCCGUGCGACCCGUCUUG
Molecule: small RNA, 406 nt
Filed under: Haliclona sp. GW33299
Lineage: Eukaryota; Metazoa; Porifera; Demospongiae; Haplosclerida; Chalinidae
Description: partial large subunit ribosomal RNA
Source: RNAcentral